AGGGUUUGAUCCUGGCUCAGAACGAACGCUGGCGGCGUGGCUAAAACAUGCAAGUCGAACGCGAAAGUUUUCUUCGGAAAACGAGUAGAGUGGCGAAAGGGCGAGGAAUACAUGGAUAACGUACCCCUGGCACAAGGAUAGCUGCGGGAAACUGCAGGUAAUACUUGAUGUCGCCAUAGUGUCUAAGGGCAUUAUGGUGAAAGGUGGGGAUCAUUAAUUUGACCUACCGGCAAGGGAGCGGUCCAUGACCUAUCAGCUAGUUGGUGAGGUAACAGCUCACCAAGGCUACGACGGGUACCGGGACUGAGAGGUUGGUCCGGCGCAUUGGGACUGAGACACUGCCCAGACUCCUACGGGAGGCUGCAGUAACGAAUAUUGCACAAUGAGCGCAAGCUUGAUGCAGCGACGCCGCGUGUGGGAGGAAGCCCUUCGGAGUGUAAACCACUGUCAGGGAUUACCAAGCAAUGAGGGUUAAUACCUCUCUGCGUUGAGGAGUCCCACAGGAAGUCACGGCUAACUUCGUGCCAGCAGCCGCGGUAAUACGAAGGUGGCGAGCGUUGUUCGGAAUCACUGGGCUUAAAGAGCACGUAGGCGGGCUAUAAAGCGUCUUGUGAAAGCCCUCGGCUCAACCGAGGAAUUGCUUGGCGAACUGAUAGUCUUGAGGCAGGUAGGGGUGCACGGAACUCUUGGUGGAGCGGUGGAAUGCGUAGAUAUCAAGAGGAACGCCGGUGGCGAAGGCGGUGUACUGGGCCUGACCUGACGCUGAGGUGCGAAAGCCAGGGGAGCGAACGGGAUUAGAUACCCCGGUGGUCCUGGCCCUAAACGAUGUUCACUAGGUCGGAGGUGUUCUGACACAGUUCCGACCAAAGCAAAAGUGUUAAGUGAACCGCCUGGGGAGUACGGUCGCAAGGCUAAAACUCAAAGGAAUUGACGGGUCUUCACACAAGCGGUGGAGCAUGUUGCUUAAUUCGAUCAACGCGAAGAACCUUAUCCUGGGCUUGACAUAUUUGAAUGCCUACUGGGAAACCAGGUCGGCUGCCCUUCGGGGUGGAACUUAUACAGGUGCUGCAUGGCUGUCGUCAGCUCGUGUCGUGAGAUGUUGGGUUAAGUCCCGUAACGAGCGAAACCCUUGUUGCUAGUUGCCAGCGCGUAAUGGCGGGGACUCUAGUAAGACUGCCGGUGUUAAACCGGAGGAAGGUGGGGAUGACGUCAAGUCCUCAUGCCCUUUAUGCCCAGGGCUGCAAACGUGCUACAAUGGCGUGUACAAACCGACGCAAGACCGCGAGGUGGAGCAAAUCGGAAAAAGCACGCCCCAGUUCGGAUUAGAGUCUGCAACUCGACUCUAUGAAGUUGGAAUCGCUAGUAAUCGUAGAUCAGCUAUGCUACGGUGAAUGUGUUCCUGAAGAUUGUACACACCGCCCGUCAAGUCAUGGAAGCCGGGAGCACCCGAAGUCGGGGCAUUUCAGCCCUGCCGAAGGUGAGUUCGGUGACUGGGACUAAGUCGUAACAAGGUA
RNAcentral lists this ribosomal RNA (1514 nucleotides) under metagenome. Its description in RNAcentral is "bacterial SSU rRNA". It matches the Rfam family "Bacterial small subunit ribosomal RNA". The record is from RNAcentral.